Molecule: ribosomal RNA, 301 nt
Filed under: Lysinibacillus xylanilyticus
Lineage: Bacteria; Bacillati; Bacillota; Bacilli; Caryophanales; Bacillaceae
Description: partial 16S ribosomal RNA
Rfam family: Bacterial small subunit ribosomal RNA
Source: RNAcentral
AAACGGUUGCCAACUCGCGAGAGGGAGCUAAUCCGAUAAAGUCGUUCUCAGUUCGGAUUGUAGGCUGCAACUCGCCUACAUGAAGCCGGAAUCGCUAGUAAUCGCGGAUCAGCAUGCCGCGGUGAAUACGUUCCCGGGCCUUGUACACACCGCCCGUCACACCACGAGAGUUUGUAACACCCGACGUCGGUGGGGUAACCUUUAUGGAGCCAGCCGCCGAAGGUGGGAUAGAUGAUUGGGGUGAAGUCGUAACAAGGUAGCCGUAUCGGAAGGUGCGGCUGGAUCACCUCCUUUCUAAGGA